Molecule: ribosomal RNA, 374 nt
Filed under: uncultured organism
Description: partial 16S ribosomal RNA
Rfam family: Bacterial small subunit ribosomal RNA
Source: RNAcentral
GUAGGUGGCAAGCGUUGUCCGGAAUUAUUGGGCGUAAAGCGCGCGCAGGCGGUCCUUUAAGUCUGAUGUGAAAGCCCACGGCUCAACCGUGGAGGGUCAUUGGAAACUGGGGGACUUGAGUACAGAAGAGGAAAGCGGAAUUCCAAGUGUAGCGGUGAAAUGCGUAGAGAUUUGGAGGAACACCAGUGGCGAAGGCGGCUUUCUGGUCUGUGACUGACGCUGAGGCGCGAAAGCGUGGGGAGCAAACAGGGAUUAGAUACCCUGGUAGUCCACGCCGUAAACGAUGAGUGCUAAGUGUUAGGGGGGUUUCCGCCCCCUUAGUGCUGCAGCUAACGCAUUAAGCACUCCGCCUGGGGAGUACGGCCGCAAGGCUG